ACCCGGCUGACGAGUCCCAAGUAGGACGAAACGCGCGUCAAACUAUAU
RNAcentral lists this non-coding RNA (48 nucleotides) under Schistosoma bovis. The record is from RNAcentral. Lineage: Eukaryota; Metazoa; Platyhelminthes; Trematoda; Strigeidida; Schistosomatidae. RNAcentral also lists the same sequence under 1 other name.